UACGUAGGGUGCAAGCGUUGUCCGGAAUUAUUGGGCGUAAAGGGCUCGUAGGCGGUCCAUCGCGUCGGGAGUGAAAAGCUGGGGCUUAACCCCAGUCCUGCUUCCGAUACGGGUGGACUAGAGGUAGGUAGGGGAGAUCGGAAUUCCUGGUGUAGCGGUGAAAUGCGCAGAUAUCAGGAGGAACACCGGUGUCGAAGGCGGAUCUCUGGGCCUUACCUGACGCUGAGGAGCGAAAGCAUGGGGAGCAAACAGG
Molecule: ribosomal RNA, 253 nt
Filed under: uncultured bacterium
Lineage: Bacteria
Description: partial 16S ribosomal RNA
Rfam family: Bacterial small subunit ribosomal RNA
Source: RNAcentral